Molecule: long non-coding RNA, 1217 nt
Filed under: Olea europaea subsp. europaea
Lineage: Eukaryota; Viridiplantae; Streptophyta; Magnoliopsida; Lamiales; Oleaceae
Source: RNAcentral
CUCAAAUAAUCCAUUUAGAAGCUGAAAUCAUUCCUCCAAACAUACCCAAUAACUCAAACCCAUAAUCUCGCCCCCAUUUAUGCCCAAUUACUCCUGCCACAUUUACCCCUAUUACCCAGGUCACUAUUACAACUUUCAAACCAAAAAUUGAAAAAUUAAAACCCUAGAAUCUCCAUUACACACAAGAAAUCCUCAAAUCCUAUCUCAAUCCUUGUUUAUGGAAUGUCUAUAUCCACAAAAAUCGAUUUCGAGCACUAAUAUCUGGGCAUAUUGAUAUUCCUGCGCUGUUAUUUAAACCCGUGCGUGAACGAUUCACCAGAAAAGUUGAUGUCGCAAUGAGAGAUGAAUUGGUGAUGCAAAUAUUCCAUGUAUGGAUGCCGGAAGAGGAGACGUUUUGGAAGAGGAAACCUGACUUUCUGGAACCUUAUCUUUUCCUAGAUUUUAUGUAUUCAGUAGUUAUUCUCGAGAUAGCCAAGAAUGAAUAGUCGGCAGGAGUUUUUAGAUAUCAGUUUGUUUUGUAUGCAAAACCUUGUGGUUCUUUGGAGUGAUUCCAAGUUCCAUUUCCAUUGUUAAUCCCAUCAAUUGAAAUAAAUUUUUUUGCUUCAUUUUUUCCCGCUGCUUCAAUUGGCUUUUAUGCGUGAGUGAUUCCAUUGUGGAAAUCAUUCCAUCAGUCAAAGAAUUUUCAGGUGGCAGGACCUCGAGGUUAUGAUGGCUGAAAAAUGAUAGAUAUAUAUGUGAAUCUUCCAGCCCUCAAGACCUCGAGGUUAUGAUGGCUGAAAAAUGAUAGAUAUAUAUGUGAAUCUUCCAGCCCUCAAGAAAUUAGAUGCAAUGCUAAUUAGCAUCUUGGAUGGUUUUCGUGGCAUUAAGUUUUACUAUUUUGAGAGUGGGAUGGGUGUUGCUGAUGCGGAACACGUUGAAGCAAAUCCUUUGUUCCCCAUUCUUCAUCACAUUGUAUUUGACUCUAGCAAUCUCUGACAGGCUGAUGCAUAGAAGAUUGGCAAGUUAUUUUCACCAAGAAAUAACCCAAAACGCAAUCUCUUAGCACUUUUUUAUGCAAUGAUGUGUAGUUGCUGUUAAGAACAUUUAGGAUGUAUCCAGUGGCUUUGUAUGUGUAAUUUUCUUAUGCAUUGUUGUCUCUUUUGAUUUGGGAUAUACUGAUGUUUAUUUCAGACUCUGUUGUACACAAGAAUCUAGCAUUCAUCUCAUUUGUUGGCUCA